Molecule: unclassified non-coding RNA, 234 nt
Filed under: soil metagenome
Description: partial internal transcribed spacer 1
Source: RNAcentral
UUGAAUUUUAAUGAAGAGUUUGGUUGUAGCUGGCCCAUUCAUUUGGGCAUGUGCACACCUUCCUCUUUCAUCCCACACACACCUGUGAACCUGUGAGACAGAGAUGGGGAAUUUACUUGCUGCUUUUUGGAAUACAAAGGCAAUAGGUUAUUGGACCCCCCCUCUGUCUACUCAAUUAAUAUAAACUCAAUUUAUUUUAAAACGAAUGUAUAAUGGAUGUAACACAUCUCAUAC